RNAcentral lists this ribosomal RNA (253 nucleotides) under uncultured bacterium. RNAcentral describes it as "partial 16S ribosomal RNA". It matches the Rfam family "Bacterial small subunit ribosomal RNA", at positions 524 to 776 of the family's 1533-position model. The record is from RNAcentral.
CACGUAGGGUGCGAGCGUUAUCCGGAUUUACUGGGCGUAAAGCGCUUGUAGGUGGCUUCGUAAGUUGGGCGUGAAAACACCGGGCUUAACUCGGUGACGCCGUCCAAUACUGCGGGGCUAGAGGAUGUCAGAGGAAGGUGGAAUUCCUGGUGUAGUGGUGAAAUGCGUAGAUAUCAGGAGGAACACCCGUGGCGAAGGCGGCCUUCUGGGGCAUUCCUGACACUGAGAAGCGAAAGCUAGGGGAGCAAACAGG